Molecule: ribosomal RNA, 253 nt
Filed under: uncultured bacterium
Lineage: Bacteria
Description: partial 16S ribosomal RNA
Rfam family: Bacterial small subunit ribosomal RNA
Source: RNAcentral
GACAGAGGGUGCAAACGUUGUUCGGAAUUACUGGGCAUAAAGCGCACGUAGGUGGUCCGCUAAGUCGCGUGUGAAAUCCCCCGGCUCAACCGGGGAACUGCACCUGAUACUGGCGUGCUCGAGGACGGUAGGGGUGAGUGGAACUCCAGGUGGAGCGGUGAAAUGCGUAGAUAUCUGGAGGAACACCGGUGGCGAAAGCGGCUCACUGGACCGUCUCUGACGCUGAGGUGCGAAAGCUAGGGUAGCAAACGGG